Molecule: long non-coding RNA, 410 nt
Organism: Micropterus salmoides (largemouth bass)
Lineage: Eukaryota; Metazoa; Chordata; Actinopteri; Centrarchiformes; Centrarchidae
Exons: 3
Source: RefSeq, a predicted model, not a curated record
AUCUCAGGAAGUUGUGGGUGCCUGUGCAAGAGUUUGACGGACUAUAUUUUGACUGAGGAAAGGCUGACUGAGGGCAACUAUCCUGCCCUCAACCCUGAGAAAUCUGUUUGUGCCAUUCUUUUUGCUGACAAUAAGAAAUGCAACGCAGACCGCAGGCAGGACUGAGAACCUACUGCCACCCUGACCAUCAAGUUAGGGAGUAAACAAAAGUCACAAAGUGCUUUACAUGGUUGGACAACAAUGUCAACCUUUCAGGGCAGAGGCAUAUACAAUCAAGCAAUUAAAAUGAUACAAAGUUUAAGUGGAAGAAGAUCCCCACAACAGGGAUGACAGUAAUAAUAAAAAGGUGGAGUGGAGACCCACAAUUGCUGUGAGGAAUUCAUGGGAGCACCUAGAUGGCAGGUGCUUAA